UGGAUAGUUCAGUUGGUUAGAGCAGGGCGCUGAGAAUGCCAAGGUUGCAGGUUUGAUCCCCGUACGGGACAG
Podarcis lilfordi (Lilford's wall lizard) is the source of this 72-nucleotide non-coding RNA. NCBI's taxonomy places the organism in Eukaryota, Metazoa, Chordata, Lepidosauria, Squamata, Lacertidae. The record is from the annotation of a GenBank genome assembly.